RNAcentral lists this ribosomal RNA (253 nucleotides) under uncultured prokaryote. RNAcentral describes it as "partial 16S ribosomal RNA". It matches the Rfam family "Bacterial small subunit ribosomal RNA", at positions 524 to 776 of the family's 1533-position model. The record is from RNAcentral.
UACGGAGGGGGCGAGCGUUGUCCGAAGUUACUGGGCGUAAAGCGCGCGUAGGCGGGUCGACAAGUCCGCUGUGAAAGCCCGGGGCUCAACCCCGGAGGGUCGGUGGAUACUGUCGGUCCUGAAGGUGCUAGGGGGAGAUGGAAUUACCGGUGUAGCGGUGAAAUGCGUAGAUAUCGGUAGGAACACCAGUGGCGAAGGCGGUCUCCUGGGGCACUCUUGACGCUGAGGCGCGAAAGCUGGUGGAGCGAACGGU